Molecule: long non-coding RNA, 277 nt
Filed under: Mytilus galloprovincialis (Mediterranean mussel)
Lineage: Eukaryota; Metazoa; Mollusca; Bivalvia; Mytilida; Mytilidae
Source: RNAcentral
CAAGUAUAUGUAUGUAUAUAUGGAUGUUUUGCCGAUUUUUGACAGAUCUAUUCUUUUCUCUUUCUAGAUUGCUUGAGGAUUUCUCAGUAGUGUCUAUAGAUACUGCUACUGUAACCAGAUAUAUGCAAUUUUAGAUACUGAAAAUAAUUAGCUAAUUAAUUAUUGGAAUAUUUUGUUGCAUUGUACACAAGAGAAAAGAGGACCAUACACAUUAAAGAGGGUAGUAAGGGGGAAAUUUCACAAUGAACAGAUAAAAAACUAGUUUGAACAUUGUUUU